Molecule: non-coding RNA, 938 nt
Organism: Mugil cephalus (flathead mullet)
Lineage: Eukaryota; Metazoa; Chordata; Actinopteri; Mugiliformes; Mugilidae
Source: the annotation of a RefSeq genome assembly
CCACCAUGACUCUCAUCACCAUCCUCAUCUGGACGCUGGCCUGCUGCUGCUUCACAGGAUGCAGUGGUCAGGUGACUGUGACUCAGCCUCCAGUAAAGACAUCUACUCCAGGAUCCACUGUCACUAUGACCUGUAAGACCAGCCAAAAUGUUGGUCUUUGUGAUAGUAAACCAUGUAUGUCCUGGUAUCAACAGAAAUCUGGACAGCUUCCAAAGCUCCUUGUUAAACAAAGUAACAUAAGCCAAUCAGGAACACCAGCUCGGUUUAGUGGCAGUGGAAGCAGCUCUGACUUCUCUUUGACCAUCAGUGGAGUUCAGGCUGAAGAUGCAGCAGUUUACUACUGUCAGAGUGGUCAUAAUAUUGACAGCGUUGUGUCAUUCACUUUUGGUGGAGGAACCAAACUCACCGUUGACUUGGGUGUGGUGCGUCCCACCCUGAGCGUCCUCCCCCCCUCCAGAGAGGAGCUGCAGCAGAGCAGUGCCACACUGGUGUGUCUGGCCAGCGGGGGCUUCCCCUCGACCUGGAGUCUGGGCUGGAAGGUGGGGGGCAGCAGCAGGUCCUCGGGGGUGUCCCGCAGCGUGGAGGUCCUGGGGGGGGACGGCCACUACAGCUGGAGCAGCUCCCUGAGCCUCACUGCAGACCAGUGGAGGAAGGCGUGCUCAGUGAGCUGUGAGGCCAGUCUGAAUGGACAGAGCCCUGUCACUCAAACCCUGGAGCCUGACCGCUGCUCAGAGUAGAGCUUCAGCAACACUUCCUGUCUGGAAAUGAUGCUUCUGAUACUUUCAUCAAGCUGCACAUCUUCUCUCUUCUGAUAUUUGCUCAACACGCGACCGUCCUUUCAUUUCUACACGAUUCUGCUCUUUAACAAUUAUUUUAAAAAUGCUGAUAAAUUUUCAUGCAGAGAAUAAACUGACAUUUAAUAAAAUCAACAACUUUUU